Molecule: ribosomal RNA, 461 nt
Filed under: Streptococcus sp. oral taxon 066
Lineage: Bacteria; Bacillati; Bacillota; Bacilli; Lactobacillales; Streptococcaceae
Description: bacterial SSU rRNA
Rfam family: Bacterial small subunit ribosomal RNA
Source: RNAcentral
GAUGAACGCUGGCGGCGUGCCUAAUACAUGCAAGUAGAACGCUGAAGCUUGGUGCUUGCACCGAGCGGAUGAGUUGCGAACGGGUGAGUAACGCGUAGGUAACCUGCCUGGUAGCGAGGGAUAACUAUUGGAAACGAUAGCUAAUACCGCAUAACAGUCGACAUUGCAUGAUGUUGAUUUGAAAGGGGCAAAUGCUCCACUACCAGAUGGACCUGCGUUGUAUUAGCUAGUUGGUGAGGUAACGGCUCACCAAGGCGACGAUACAUAGCCGACCUGAGAGGGUGAUCGGCCACACUGGGACUGAGACACGGCCCAGACUCCUACGGGAGGCAGCAGUAGGGAAUCUUCGGCAAUGGACGGAAGUCUGACCGAGCAACGCCGCGUGAGUGAAGAAGGUUUUCGGAUCGUAAAUGCUCUGUUGUAAGAGAAGAACGAGUGUGAGAUGUGGAAAUGUUCACACU